RNAcentral lists this ribosomal RNA (980 nucleotides) under Halomonas sp. RNAcentral describes it as "bacterial SSU rRNA". It matches the Rfam family "Bacterial small subunit ribosomal RNA", at positions 54 to 1031 of the family's 1533-position model. The record is from RNAcentral. Lineage: Bacteria; Pseudomonadati; Pseudomonadota; Gammaproteobacteria; Oceanospirillales; Halomonadaceae.
CAUGCAAGUCGAGCGGUAACAGAUCUAGCUUGCUGGAUGCUGACGAGCGGCGGACGGGUGAGUAAUGCAUAGGAAUCUGCCCGAUAGUGGGGGAUAACCUGGGGAAACCCAGGCUAAUACCGCAUACGUCCUACGGGAGAAAGGGGGCUCCGGCUCCCGCUAUGGGAUGAGCCUAUGUCGGAUUAGCUAGUUGGUGAGGUAACGGCUCACCAAGGCCACGAUCCGUAGCUGGUCUGAGAGGAUGAUCAGCCACAUCGGGACUGAGACACGGCCCGAACUCCUACGGGAGGCAGCAGUGGGGAAUAUUGGACAAUGGGGGAAACCCUGAUCCAGCCAUGCCGCGUGUGUGAAGAAGGCCCUCGGGUUGUAAAGCACUUUCAGCGAGGAAGAACGCCUAGCGGUUAAUACCCGCUAGGAAAGACAUCACUCGCAGAAGAAGCACCGGCUAACUCCGUGCCAGCAGCCGCGGUAAUACGGAGGGUGCAAGCGUUAAUCGGAAUUACUGGGCGUAAAGCGCGCGUAGGUGGCUUGAUAAGCCGGUUGUGAAAGCCCCGGGCUCAACCUGGGAACGGCAUCCGGAACUGUCAAGCUAGAGUGCAGGAGAGGAAGGUAGAAUUCCCGGUGUAGCGGUGAAAUGCGUAGAGAUCGGGAGGAAUACCAGUGGCGAAGGCGGCCUUCUGGACUGACACUGACACUGAGGUGCGAAAGCGUGGGUAGCAAACAGGAUUAGAUACCCUGGUAGUCCACGCCGUAAACGAUGUCGACCAGCCGUUGGGUGCCUAGCGCACUUUGUGGCGAAGUUAACGCGAUAAGUCGACCGCCUGGGGAGUACGGCCGCAAGGUUAAAACUCAAAUGAAUUGACGGGGGCCCGCACAAGCGGUGGAGCAUGUGGUUUAAUUCGAUGCAACGCGAAGAACCUUACCUACUCUUGACAUCCUGCGAAUUUGGUAGAGAUACCUUAGUGCCUUCGGGAACGCAA